This 242-nucleotide ribosomal RNA is filed under the name uncultured bacterium. RNAcentral describes it as "partial small subunit ribosomal RNA". It matches the Rfam family "Bacterial small subunit ribosomal RNA", at positions 26 to 282 of the family's 1533-position model. The record is from RNAcentral.
AGAAUCAACGCUGGCGGCGUGCCUAACACAUGCAAGUCGCACGAGAAAGGGUAGCAAUACCUGAGUACAGUGGCGCACGGGUGAGUAACACGUGAAUUAUCUACCUCCGAGUGGGGAAUAACUGAGAGAAAUCUUAGCUAAUACCGCAUAACACUUACGAGUCAAAGCAGCAAUGCGCUUGGAGAGGAGUUCGCGGCAGAUUAGUUAGUUGGCGGGGUAAUGGCCCACCAAGACGAUGAUCU